GGUAGGGUUAGGUGCCUGGAUUGCCACCACAACCAGUUACACAUCUAUAGGACUCCCAGUGCCAGUAAUUAGCUUAUUGGUCUAGAUUCCUGUCAUCAUUCACGUAAAUUUCCCUCCCUCUCUUGUUUUGCCACUUUUCAGAAAUCCGAAGCACUUCAGCACUUCCGAAAUGUCUGAAUUGCUGAAAUUUGUCCGAAUUUACUUUCUGAACGAAAUUAAUUGCACAUGUCUACU
Molecule: non-coding RNA, 234 nt
Organism: Pelobates cultripes (western spadefoot toad)
Lineage: Eukaryota; Metazoa; Chordata; Amphibia; Anura; Pelobatidae
Source: the annotation of a GenBank genome assembly